UGGGGAAUAUUGGACAAUGGGCGCAAGCCUGAUCCAGCCAUACCGCGUGGGUGAAGAAGGCCUUCGGGUUGUAAAGCCCUUUUGUUGGGAAAGAAAUCCAGCUGGUUAAUACCCGGUUGGGAUGACGGUACCCAAAGAAUAAGCACCGGCUAACUUCGUG
Molecule: ribosomal RNA, 160 nt
Filed under: uncultured bacterium
Lineage: Bacteria
Description: partial 16S ribosomal RNA
Rfam family: Bacterial small subunit ribosomal RNA
Source: RNAcentral